AAUUGUUAAGAGCUCAAAACUGGCAGUUUCCAAUUGGCCACUCACUUUGUACAUUACUAGCUUAUCCUUUCUCACAAAAAUUGACUGGCAUGUGUAACAGACAGCCAGUCCAACAGUUUGAAACCUCCACUGAAGAUGGAUAUUCAUUCCAUAAUUUGAUCUGUGAAUUUGCCCAAUAAAACUGGUACUCUAUCAGAGAGACUUAAUUAAUUAAUUGAUUGAUUGUGUGUUGUGAUAGAGCAGUUGAAAUUUAGAAGAGGCACAGUGGACAAGCUCAACCACAUGAAACAUUUGCAAUUAUUGUACAAAGAAAGGACAAAUCUCGUUUAAAGUUUUACAAGUGGCUCACAUGAUGAAAUCACCAGAGUAAUAAAUGCAGUACAAUAACUGUACUUGUGUAGCUGCUGUUUAAUACACAGAAGAAUAAAUGACUCAUGAAAAAGUAACUAUGCUGUGCCAAAGAAACAGUGAGUGAGAACAUUCAAGGAAAUCCAUUGAUUGAAAUAUACUGACUUCAUGAUUACCACAAUGGAACAAAAAAAAACUGCUCUUGGAUUCCAUUGGGAACACCUUCUCAAAGGAACGUGGUCACUUGUGACUGCAACAGUUGGAGCCCAGCAGCAGGAUAUGCCUAGCAUGCCAGUUACUGUCAAUGUCACCGCUUAGGAGACAUUCAAGCAGCAAGAAGGGAGAUUAAAGGGUUACCAGAAGACAGCACACCACAGUUUGCCACUUUCAAACUA
Molecule: long non-coding RNA, 743 nt
Organism: Stegostoma tigrinum
Lineage: Eukaryota; Metazoa; Chordata; Chondrichthyes; Orectolobiformes; Stegostomatidae
Exons: 4
Source: RefSeq, a predicted model, not a curated record